Molecule: RNA transcript, 309 nt
Organism: Cariama cristata (Red-legged seriema)
Lineage: Eukaryota; Metazoa; Chordata; Aves; Cariamiformes; Cariamidae
Gene name: short stature homeobox protein pseudogene
Exons: 1
Source: RefSeq, a predicted model, not a curated record
UGUGGAUAAGAUCACCGGGCAGCCAUGGAAGAACUUACGGCUUUUGUAUCCAAAUCUUUUGACCAGAAAAGCAAAGAGAGCAGCAGCGGCAGUGGCAGCAGCAACAAGAAGGAGACGAUCACGUACAGGGAAGUUUUGGAGAGUGGGUUGGCUCGCUCUAGGGAGCUUGGAAACUCGGACUCUAACCUGCAGGACAUGACCGAGAGCAGCAACCAUUGCCCGGUGCAUCUUUUCAAAGACCACGUAGAGAGCGACAAGGACAAACUGAAGGAGUUCAGCACGGGCAGGACGGCGGAAGGUAAGAGCCGG